GACGAACGCUGGCGGCGUGCCUAAUACAUGCAAGUCGAACGCUGAAGGAGGAGCUUGCUUCUCUGGAUGAGUUGCGAACGGGUGAGUAACGCGUAGGUAACCUGCCUGUUAGCGGGGGAUAACUUUUGGAAACGAUAGCUAAUACCGCAUAAGAGUAGAUGUUGCAUGACAUUGGCUGAAAAGUUUCAAUUGCAUCACUACCAGAUGGAGCUGCGUUGUAUUGGCGAGGUGGUGGGGUAACGGCUCACCAUGGCGACGAAACAUAGCCGACCGGAGAGGGGGAUCGGCCACCCUGGGAGUGAGACAGGGCCCAGACUCCCGGGGGAGGCAGCAGUAGGGCAUCUUCGGCCAUGGACGGAAGUCUGACCGCGCAACGCCGCGUGAGUGAAGAAGGUUUUCGGGUCGUAAAGGUCUGUUGUCAGGGAAGAACGAGUGUUCGAGUGGAAAGUUCACACUGUGACGGUAUCUUACCAGAAAGGGACGGCUAACUACGUG
Molecule: ribosomal RNA, 495 nt
Filed under: uncultured bacterium
Lineage: Bacteria
Description: partial 16S ribosomal RNA
Rfam family: Bacterial small subunit ribosomal RNA
Source: RNAcentral